ACCCUUACGGCAAAUGACCCGAAAUCAAGAAAAUGGAUCCAAACUCAACUUUUCAUCUUCUCUUCUCUCUCCUUAUAAGAAAAAGACGAAAAAUAAAUAAAUUCCAACUUCCUUCAGCUUUGGAAUUUUGCCAGUUCUCUCCGAGGGAAAUAAUAAACCAUUUCCUCUAGGGUGUGGAUAGUGGGAGCAGACUCGGAGAACUUCCCAGUCAUGAUGCAGUUACACCAAGGGUUGACUCAGUCCUUUUUUUUUCUGCUCUGGUUGUGAUGGAUGUACUGACAUGGCAUAUCCAAGAUAGGGUGUCAUGGUGUAUGUUAUUCGUAGAUGACAUAAUACUGAUUGAUGAGACUCACAGUGGUGCUACACAUGAAAUUCGUGUAGAAGUGAGGUUUGACACUCAUGUCAUCCCCAAGAGAAGAUGUUUCAAGUGUAUGGGGUCUUUAAUUCAAGCUAGUGUAGAGAUCAAUGAUGACAUCACACAUCGUAUUCGUGUGGGAUAGGCGAAAUAAGAUGGCCUCCAGAGUCUUAUGUGUUUAAAAGGUACUGCCAAGACUUAAAAUUAACUGAGGAUGAUCCUGCUGAAACUAAGCUUGGUGUGCUAUUCAUUUCCUCUUCAAGACAAGCUGAAGAUCCCUCCUGUCCAGAAACCUCUACUCCAACUUCUAGCCUUUGGUUAUCUCGAGCUAAGAGACCCGGAUUCAUCUCUGCAGGUGAGAAUUGAAGUUCAUACUGGUGGCUCCAUGACUGAUAAUUGGAUAAAUUUCUUAUUUGGUGAGAGUUGAAGUCCAUACAGGUGGCUCUGUGACUGAUAAAUGGAUAAAUUUCUUAUUAGAUAUCCUAUUAUUGUCUUAGCUACCGUUUUAUUGAGGGGAAGUUUACUGACGUAACCAUGAGACUCACAGGGAAGUGAGGCUUGAUACCAGGACAUCCAAACGAGAGGAAGUAUCAAGUAUCUUGGGUCUAUUCUCUAAAGAUACGGGAAUGAUAUCACAGAUCAUAUUGUUGCCAAGUGGAUGAAAUAGAGUUCGCUUCUAAGGUCUUGUGUGAUUAAGAGAAGCUGCCACCAAAACUUAAAGUCAGGUUCUAUAGAGUUUGACCAACUUUGUUGUAUGGGGCGGAAUGUUGGACAAGGUGGAGCUAAGCUAUAUUGGUUUUCUGAAGCGGGAAUAGAAGAAAAAGUGAGCGCUUAUAUGACUGAAGCGAGAAGAGAGAAAGGAACGAAAGGCGCGUAUUAGCGAGUUCGAUUGCUGCGACGGGUUUUAUAUUAAAAUUUUUGUAAAAACAUACUCAUGGGAUUUCUCUUCCUAAACAUCUGCUUAGAGUUCGACUGCUAGGAGCCUGUGACUUCUCUUCGAGAUGACCGAGGAUGAUCCCGCUGAAACUAAGCUUGGUAUGUUAUUCUGUUCCUCUCCAAGACAAGCUGAAGAUCCCUCCGGUCCAGAAACCACUACUCCAACUUCUAGCCUUUGGUCAUCACGAGCUAAGAGACGCGUCGUCGUCUCAGAAGGAGCAUUCAUUGAGUCAGAGGCGUUAUCUUUGGCUAUUGGUGGUAGAGACGUCGAGCAUUCUGUGGUAGUUGGUGACACGAGCGGCAUUGCUCCAAGACCAAUCUCAUUAGGAGGGAUGUAUUUGUUCCUUGCAUGAAUUAGAGUAACAUCUUUACCACGGUCUCGUAUAUUUUCAAAUUCUGGUUCCUGUAGAAUGUUAUAAAGUUGCCUCUGGAGUCUUUCGACAGUUGACAAAAUGUGUUGUCUAAGCUUUGAUCUCUUUCUUUUUGGGACACAGUUAGGAUUCCAGAAAGUGUCUUUAUCUGCUUCUCCCAACAAAAGGUAAAUGUUAGUGCACAUAAAACAUUAAGGUUAAUAUACAUUAGUUUUUAUUUUUAUUUUGGUCAAGCUAGUAUUAUUUGCAAGGUUAAGGUAUAGUUGGAUGGUCAAUUCAUAUCUUUAUUGAAAAUCCAAAUCACCUGAAAUAUUUUAAUUUCACCUCAUUGUUAAAAGGAAAGUUAGUUCUCAAAUUUAGAGGAGACACUAGAAUUAAUGGCCUAUGAGCAAGAAAGAAACCAAAGAUUGUGCUUGUAGAGUAUCACGUAGUAAUUACAUCCCUAAGUUUUUUAUGGUACAGUCUUGAAUGUGAUUGACAUUGCAUAAUUUGAAAGACACAUCACAGUAAUCAGAAAAAGGCAAGAAUUUCCUGCGUAAAAAAUAAAUCCAAAUGUGGUGAAUCUUGAUACAUGCUUAUCAAGUUGCCUUAGAGCUCAUGGUGUAAGUGAUUCUUUUGAGUGUUAGAUACGAACAUAGGACAAUGGGAGAAUGAUGAUAAAAUUUUCUAUCUCACCGUUAAAUUUGUUGUGUCGGAUCUUUAGAUUCUUCCCCUUUUUGGGAAGGUUCAUCUACAAUGAUUUGGUUUCCUAAUUUCUAUCUCAUAAUUUUCUUUGACUAAGUUCUCCUUUGGUACGAGGGAUAUUGGAUAACUAAUCUUGGGAUUAAUUUUAGGAUGAGCUUAUCCCAUGUUUAGUUAGGAUAAAUCAUGGUAUGACUUAUCCCGGAAUUAGCUAUACCGUGAUUGUAGUUUUAUUUUUAUCCCACAUUGAAGGUGGGAUAACAUUCCCGGGAUCACUUGUUCCCCAACCAAACGUGCCCCAAGAGUUUUGGGCUUACGAUCAUGCAAAACAGAAGAGAAAUAUUGGCUAGAAAUUGAGUAGGAAGAUAUUUUUUUUCCAUUUUUUUAACCUGUACGCUUAAGAAAGGAUUUGAUUCAGGACAUGUAUCAUAUUUGCUGAGACAAGUUAACUGCUCACUAUAUAUGUGAAAGUAUUUUACCAUUUGUUUCUUCCAUCUGCAUGCUCUGUGUUUCCCUAUUUGCAUGUCUGGGAAUAUAGUUUUGCAGUGUCCCCCUAAUGCACCACCUUAUUCCACAAGCAUUGCAGAGCACAGGUUUUUCAGGUGGCCCAGGUCUCCAAUGGGAGGUUUCUGUUUGAGUUCAAAGUUAAUUAGUGUUUACACUAAAACACAAUGAUCAUUGACAAUAAAGAUUUUCUAUAAAAAAUGGUAGAGAAUUUAUUGCAGGAGAAUGGAAGAGUCAUGAAACUAGAGUAUGUAUAAUAUUAAAAACAAGAGGAAAUUUCCUUGUGUGAAAUAUGCAUUGACCUUAAGGAUUCUUCAACUGUUACUUUACUCACAUUUUCAUCACUAUGUUAAGGAGCCAUACCAGAAAGUUGAAGUUAGCCAUAACCAUGAACUUAUGUUGGGCAGUAAGAUCCAGUCAUUGCAUAAACCUCUCUCACAUUUUCUGAUGAAGAAUCUGUCCGAGUCUUAGCCACCACACUACAAAAGAUCCUCCCUCUUCUAUAAACUGGAUUAAGCUAUGAUCAUCUCGAUAGCUUUCACGAAGUUCAAAAGAAAACUCCUCAUUUUCUAUCCCUAAAGCCGAAAGUGCCUUGUACAUCAUCAUAUUCUCUCGAAGUGGUCCCUAUGCGACUUCUAAAAUCCCCCUCAAAUAAUUAGUUUCUCAACACGUGGGAUAACUAUCACAACCUAGUCUUACUCCUACCAGAAUAAAGAAGUUUUUUUUUACCUCCUCGUCCAAACCUGUUUGCUGCACAUAUCCCUGACCUUGGUUCCUACCUGUUUGGUUUCCUGUACAGAAGCUUUAUUGAUCUUCCUCUUUAUAAGAAUCUUCACUAACUGUAUUGAUUUCCUUGUCAAUGUCCCUAUGUUUCAAGACCCCACUCUCAACCUAGGAUCUCCCUUGGUACCCUCACCACCUCGGCCCCCCGCCCCUGCUGCAAAUCAAGUACAUGACCAUAAACUACAUCAAACCCCGAUGCCACUAACGCCAGUUAUAGAGUAAUCAAGUGUGCAAUAAACAACAAAAAAUGGGCAACCCAUAAACUUUGACAGUCACACAAUACAAUGACGAUAAUAAAUAGAAGAAAUAAACUAUAGAAAAGAUAUUGUUUUAAGCAGGAACCAAAAAAUGCAGUAAUAUUUAUAAACGCGCAGCAAUAAAUUUAAGAACGCGAUAUCAGAUUAAGGAAAUAAGUAAUCAAGCAAGCAACAAUAACGGGCUGCACAAUCUUUUAAGGAAAAAUCAUAUUUAGAAAAACGAAUCUAGGAUUUCUAGAACAUGGGUGCACCACUAAAAAAAGAAGGAAAAGAUGUAUUGAGUAGGAAGUGAUUCUAGGUCCUCUCAGUAAAUAACCAAAUAUUUAAUUAAGUGCACCAUUGAGGCUUUUUGUAGCGUGGGUGCCAACAUAUAAUAUUAUUGGGAGGAGGCUUGGAACACUUUUCAAUAAUGAUGGGGUUUGCACUAGAGAUCGACCCUUAGUCUGUUCCCUUUUGCCUUAGUGAUGGAUGAAUUGACACGAUAUAUUUAAUGAAGGGUAUUCUGUUUUUUGCCAUUCACAGAUGACAUAGUAUAGAAUAACAAGACAUGGGGUGGAGAUAACGAAAAACUGGAAAGUCUGGGACAGAUCUUACAGAAUAAAGUUUUUAGGUUAAGCAAAACUAAAACAACGUAUUUUGUGUGUAACUUCAAUAAGGUAACACUUAAGAAACACGUUGAAGUGAGGAAUGACUAGGAAACUUCAAGUAUCUUGGGUCCAUAAUUAGAGGCUUUUGAUGUCGCACAUCAUAUUGGAGUAAGGUGGGUAAAUUGAAGGCAUGCAUCCGGGGGUACUUUGCAAUAAAAAUGUGUUGUCGUAGGUAUGUUCCAUAAAGUGGUGGUUAGACCUACAUUGUUGUAUUGGUAAGGGGUUGUUCAUGCUUGCGGUGCGUGUAAAAACCCUAUGGAGUGGUGAAGAGUGGUGUUUUGGGGGGUUCAUUAUCUAGACAGUAAGGGCGAUGGUUUUCAAAAGAUUAAAUAAUUGGGAACUAAAUGUGCAUGAAUGGUAGGGAUUGGGUGCCAAAUCCACAAUUUCUCCUAAAUGACCUGAGUUCCUUUUAGACUAAUGGCAGAUGUACUGAAAAUUAAUAAACAUUUGGCUCGAGCGAUGAAAAAAGUAAUGUACUCUAUGUUUUAUUUUGUAACAGAUGCACCAUUUUAGGGAAAUUUGGGUAUUUCGUGUUUAUGCAUGUGAGUCUUCAAAAUUCAUUGGCUGAACAUCUGGUACAUAAUUCUUAAGCAUAAUUAACCUAAUCAAGUAUCCUGUAAAGCAUGAGAUUAUUGACAAAGAUAAAAGAUGGGAUGUAGGCAGUGUAUAAAACUUACUCUUGAUGCCACAAUGGAGACAUGGACCUCGUCUACCCAUAAGAUCUGAUUAUGAAUAAUUCAGUUUAAAUAAGGUUGAAUUUGCUGCUACUAACCUUUAGAGUUCGAUUUUCUCUCAAAAUCUAAAAUGUCUAGAGUGAGGUGAUGGGUCACAGUAUAUAUAGACAACUAAGAAUUUGGUAGACUAUAGCUUGUCCUUUUAUGGAAAUAGAUGAAUAUUGAUAGAUUUGUCAUUAACUUCAAUUUCUUUCCAAUAAUGAUAUUUUACAUCAAGAAAAGAACUACUGCAUUCUAUUUAUUUCCAAUAAUGUUUUUUUACAUCCAUUUCCCCUUGGACUAGUACAAUAAUCAAAUCGACCAUUUUGCCUAAAUAUAUAAUGAGUGUCUCAUUACUACUGUGCAGGUGAGAGUUGAAGUCCAUACAGGUUGCUCCGUCACUAAUUGGAUAAAUUAUGAUAUAUUUGUUAUUAAACUUCAAUUUCUUUCCAAUAAUGCUUUUUUACACCCAGAAAAGAACUACUACAUUCAAUUUAUUUCCAAUAAUGCUCUUUUACGUCCAUUUCCCCUUGCACUAGUACAACAAUCAAAUUGACCGUUUUGCCUAAAUAUUUGACGGUCACAUUAUUACUCUGCAGGUGAGAGUUGAAGUCCAUACUGGUGGCUCCCUGACUGAUAAUUGGAUAAAUUUCUCAUUUGGAACAUUCGUUGAGCAAGAGGCAUUAUCAUCUGCCAUUGGAGGUAUAGACGUGGAGCAUUCUGUAGUAAUUGGUGAUACGAGCGGCAUUGCUCCAAGACCAAUCUCAUUAGGAGGAAUGUAUUUGUUCCUUGCAUGAAUUAGAGUAACAUCUUUACCACGGUCUCGUAUAUUUUCAAAUUCUGGUUCCUGUAGAAUGUUAUAAAGUUGCCUCUGGAGUCUUUCAACAGUUGACAAAAUGUGUUGUCUAACCUUUGAUCUCUUUCUUUUUGGGACACAAUUAGGAUUCCAGAAAGUGUCUUUAUCUGCUUCUCCCAACAAAAGAUUGCCGAGGAUGAUCCUGCUGAAACUAAGCUUGGUAUGUUAUUCAGUUCCUCUCCAAGACAAGCUGAAGAUCCUUCCUGUCCAGAAACCACUACUCCAACUUCUAGC
Solanum lycopersicum (tomato) is the source of this 6337-nucleotide non-coding RNA. Lineage: Eukaryota; Viridiplantae; Streptophyta; Magnoliopsida; Solanales; Solanaceae. The record is from RefSeq and is a predicted model, not a curated record.